CACUGCUAAGCACUGGAAAUGUUCUUGCAUGCAUACUCUACAUCCGUGCCACAGAUGUAGAAACCUCCCUCUGCCCUGCUCCCAGCUGCUGCAGAGCAAAAACAUCCCAUGAACACACAGGACCAGUAUGUGCAGGCAGUGCAAGGCAGCUCUGUCGGCCCUGUGUCCACACCAGAAGUCACCACCAAGGCAGCUGGAUGGGUGCUGAGCUGCACUGCCCGUGGUCUCAGGCUAUCCAGGUGCUGUCCUGAACCCACAAUCGUUCAACAGUAGAACCAGGCUCUUCAUUUGGCAAUAAACACAUGUACUCUCA
Non-coding RNA from Cyanistes caeruleus (blue tit), 313 nucleotides. The record is from RefSeq and is a predicted model, not a curated record. NCBI's taxonomy places the organism in Eukaryota, Metazoa, Chordata, Aves, Passeriformes, Paridae.